GAAUGCAAGAGGGUGGUUAGUGAAUGAGACCAGGUCACCAAGGGUCUUGUAACCAUGGUAAGGAAUUUGGAAUUUAUCCUAAGGGUAGGAAGAAGCCCUUGAAAAGGGCUAUAGCAGGCAGUGUGGAGAACUGAAUGAGAAGAAGCUAUUGUAACUGCUCAGAGAAAAUGGCAGUCUCCUCCACUGUCUGUGUCACAGCCAGGGACCAAGGCAGCACAAAGAGAAGGAAGCAAGAGGAAAUAAAGGAGGAUCACAUUUUCAUGGAAACAUGCCCACAGAACUCCAAGGAUGGAUCCAAGGUUUUAAAAAGUAAUUAUUCUUUACAUAUUCAUAAUUUUCUAAUAAACUCAACACAGACCAGGCUAAAGUUUACAUCUGUUAAAGAAAAAAACAAAGAUACAGGAGGAAAGCACAGCUUGUUUUCCAAUGUCUCUUGUCAUCUGAAGAGCAUUUUUAAUUUUUUUUAUGUUUCUUUAUUUUAUUUUUGAGAGAGAGAGAGAGAGUGAGAGGUGGAAGGGUAG
Herpailurus yagouaroundi (jaguarundi) is the source of this 521-nucleotide long non-coding RNA. RefSeq lists it as uncharacterized. NCBI's taxonomy places the organism in Eukaryota, Metazoa, Chordata, Mammalia, Carnivora, Felidae. The transcript is spliced from 3 exons. The record is from RefSeq and is a predicted model, not a curated record.